RNAcentral lists this small RNA (28 nucleotides) under Bombyx mori (domestic silkworm). Its description in RNAcentral is "ovarian small RNA-29629". The record is from RNAcentral. Lineage: Eukaryota; Metazoa; Arthropoda; Insecta; Lepidoptera; Bombycidae.
UCUCCAUGUAGCGCUUCCACGCCACCUC